RNAcentral lists this ribosomal RNA (351 nucleotides) under uncultured bacterium. RNAcentral's name for it is "bacterial SSU rRNA". It matches the Rfam family "Bacterial small subunit ribosomal RNA", at positions 8 to 350 of the family's 1533-position model. The record is from RNAcentral.
AGAGUUUGAUCCUGGCUCAGGAUGAACGCUAGCUACAGGCUUAACACAUGCAAGUCGAGGGGCAGCAUGUUGGUUGCUUGCAACCAACGAUGGCGACCGGCGCACGGGUGAGUAACGCGUAUCCAACCUACCCUUGUCCAUCGGAUAACCCGUCGAAAGGCGGCCUAACACGAUAUGCGGUUCACGGCAGGCAUCUAAGGUGAACGAAAUGUGAAGGAGAAGGAUGGGGAUGCGUCUGAUUAGCUUGUUGGCGGGGUAACGGCCACAAGGCUACGGAUCAGUAGGGGUUCUGGAGAGGAAGGUCCCCCACGAUUGGGAACUGAGACACGGUCCAAACUCCUACGGGAGGCA